This 440-nucleotide ribosomal RNA is filed under the name uncultured bacterium. Its description in RNAcentral is "partial 16S ribosomal RNA". It matches the Rfam family "Bacterial small subunit ribosomal RNA", at positions 338 to 795 of the family's 1533-position model. The record is from RNAcentral.
CCUACUGGAGACAUCAUUGAGGUAUUUGGCACAAUGGGGGAAACCCUGAUGCAGCGACGCCGCGUGUGGUCCUCCUUUCCUCUUUCUUUUCCCCCCCUUUCCCCCUUUCCUCCGAUGACUGUACCUGGGGAGGAAGCUCCGGCUAACUACGUGCCAGCAGCCGCGGUAAUACGUAGGUGUCUAGCGUUGUCCUUAAUUACUGGGUGAAAGGUUAGUUUGUGCGGGAAUGAAAGUUGGGUGUCAAAUCUACCGGCUCAACCGGUAGCCGCACUCAAAACUGCAGUUCUUGAGUGAAGUAGAGGCAGGCGGAAUUCAUAGUGUAGCGGUGAAAUGCGUAGAUAUUAGGAGGAACACCAGUGGCGAAGGCGGCCUGCUGGGCUUUUAAUGACGCUGAGGCUCGAAAGUGGGGGGAGCAAACAGGAUUAGAGAAAAGGGUAGUC